This is a non-coding RNA of Xylaria castorea, 101 nucleotides long. The record is from the annotation of a GenBank genome assembly. NCBI's taxonomy places the organism in Eukaryota, Fungi, Ascomycota, Sordariomycetes, Xylariales, Xylariaceae.
GGCCUCGUGGCCCAAUGGCAAGGCGUCUGACUACGAGUGAUGAUUCAACGAGAAUCUUACACGGAAUCAGGAGAUUCUGGGUUCGACCCCCAGCGAGGUCA